AUGCGGCAGGGUUGGUUAUCUAAUUGGCUAGUCAAACAUGAGGUGGUUCAUAGAUCUUUGGGCUUUGAUCACCGAGGAAUAGAGACUUUACAAAUAAAAGCAGGGGAUUGGGAUUCCAUUGCUGUCAUUUUAUAUGUAUAUGGUUACAAUUAUUUAUGCUCCCAAUGUGCUUAUGAUGUAGCACCCGGUGGAUCUUUAGCUAGCAUGUAUCAUCUUACGAGAAUACAAUAUGGUAUAGAUAAUCCAGAAGCUUUUAAUCAGUUUAAUUUCCAUGCUUGUAGUAGUAAUUAA
Molecule: ribosomal RNA, 291 nt
Filed under: Triticum aestivum (bread wheat)
Lineage: Eukaryota; Viridiplantae; Streptophyta; Magnoliopsida; Poales; Poaceae
Description: partial small subunit ribosomal RNA
Source: RNAcentral